UUAAGCGACUAAGCGUACACGGUGGAUGCCCUGGCAGUCAGAGGCGAUGAAGGACGUGCUAAUCUGCGAUAAGCGUCGGUAAGGUGAUAUGAACCGUUAUAACCGGCGAUUUCCGAAUGGGGAAACCCAGUGUGUUUCGACACACUAUCAUUAACUGAAUCCAUAGGUUAAUGAGGCGAACCGGGGGAACUGAAACAUCUAAGUACCCCGAGGAAAAGAAAUCAACCGAGAUUCCCCCAGUAGCGGCGAGCGAACGGGGAGGAGCCCAGAGCCUGAAUCAGUGUGUGUGUUAGUGGAAGCGUCUGGAAAGGCGCGCGAUACAGGGUGACAGCCCCGUACACAAAAAUGCACAUACUGUGAGCUCGAUGAGUAGGGCGGGACACGUGGUAUCCUGUCUGAAUAUGGGGGGACCAUCCUCCAAGGCUAAAUACUCCUGACUGACCGAUAGUGAACCAGUACCGUGAGGGAAAGGCGAAAAGAACCCCGGCGAGGGGAGUGAAAAAGAACCUGAAACCGUGUACGUACAAGCAGUGGGAGCCUCUUUUAUGGGGUGACUGCGUACCUUUUGUAUAAUGGGUCAGCGACUUAUAUUCUGUAGCAAGGUUAACCGAAUAGGGGAGCCGAAGGGAAACCGAGUCUUAACUGGGCGUUAAGUUGCAGGGUAUAGACCCGAAACCCGGUGAUCUAGCCAUGGGCAGGUUGAAGGUUGGGUAACACUAACUGGAGGACCGAACCGACUAAUGUUGAAAAAUUAGCGGAUGACUUGUGGCUGGGGGUGAAAGGCCAAUCAAACCGGGAGAUAGCUGGUUCUCCCCGAAAGCUAUUUAGGUAGCGCCUCGUGAAUUCAUCUCCGGGGGUAGAGCACUGUUUCGGCAAGGGGGUCAUCCCGACUUACCAACCCGAUGCAAACUGCGAAUACCGGAGAAUGUUAUCACGGGAGACACACGGCGGGUGCUAACGUCCGUCGUGAAGAGGGAAACAACCCAGACCGCCAGCUAAGGUCCCAAAGUCAUGGUUAAGUGGGAAACGAUGUGGGAAGGCCCAGACAGCCAGGAUGUUGGCUUAGAAGCAGCCAUCAUUUAAAGAAAGCGUAAUAGCUCACUGGUCGAGUCGGCCUGCGCGGAAGAUGUAACGGGGCUAAACCAUGCACCGAAGCUGCGGCAGCGACACUAUGUGUUGUUGGGUAGGGGAGCGUUCUGUAAGCCUGUGAAGGUGUACUGUGAGGUAUGCUGGAGGUAUCAGAAGUGCGAAUGCUGACAUAAGUAACGAUAAAGCGGGUGAAAAGCCCGCUCGCCGGAAGACCAAGGGUUCCUGUCCAACGUUAAUCGGGGCAGGGUGAGUCGACCCCUAAGGCGAGGCCGAAAGGCGUAGUCGAUGGGAAACAGGUUAAUAUUCCUGUACUUGGUGUUACUGCGAAGGGGGGACGGAGAAGGCUAUGUUGGCCGGGCGACGGUUGUCCCGGUUUAAGCGUGUAGGCUGGUUUUCCAGGCAAAUCCGGAAAAUCAAGGCUGAGGCGUGAUGACGAGGCACUACGGUGCUGAAGCAACAAAUGCCCUGCUUCCAGGAAAAGCCUCUAAGCAUCAGGUAACAUCAAAUCGUACCCCAAACCGACACAGGUGGUCAGGUAGAGAAUACCAAGGCGCUUGAGAGAACUCGGGUGAAGGAACUAGGCAAAAUGGUGCCGUAACUUCGGGAGAAGGCACGCUGAUAUGUAGGUGAAGUCCCUCGCGGAUGGAGCUGAAAUCAGUCGAAGAUACCAGCUGGCUGCAACUGUUUAUUAAAAACACAGCACUGUGCAAACACGAAAGUGGACGUAUACGGUGUGACGCCUGCCCGGUGCCGGAAGGUUAAUUGAUGGGGUCAGCGCAAGCGAAGCUCUUGAUCGAAGCCCCGGUAAACGGCGGCCGUAACUAUAACGGUCCUAAGGUAGCGAAAUUCCUUGUCGGGUAAGUUCCGACCUGCACGAAUGGCGUAAUGAUGGCCAGGCUGUCUCCACCCGAGACUCAGUGAAAUUGAACUCGCUGUGAAGAUGCAGUGUACCCGCGGCAAGACGGAAAGACCCCGUGAACCUUUACUAUAGCUUGACACUGAACAUUGAGCCUUGAUGUGUAGGAUAGGUGGGAGGCUUAGAAGUGUGGACGCCAGUCUGCAUGGAGCCGACCUUGAAAUACCACCCUUUAAUGUUUGAUGUUCUAACGUUGACCCGUAAUCCGGGUUGCGGACAGUGUCUGGUGGGUAGUUUGACUGGGGCGGUCUCCUCCUAAAGAGUAACGGAGGAGCACGAAGGUUGGCUAAUCCUGGUCGGACAUCAGGAGGUUAGUGCAAUGGCAUAAGCCAGCUUGACUGCGAGCGUGACGGCGCGAGCAGGUGCGAAAGCAGGUCAUAGUGAUCCGGUGGUUCUGAAUGGAAGGGCCAUCGCUCAACGGAUAAAAGGUACUCCGGGGAUAACAGGCUGAUACCGCCCAAGAGUUCAUAUCGACGGCGGUGUUUGGCACCUCGAUGUCGGCUCAUCACAUCCUGGGGCUGAAGUAGGUCCCAAGGGUAUGGCUGUUCGCCAUUUAAAGUGGUACGCGAGCUGGGUUUAGAACGUCGUGAGACAGUUCGGUCCCUAUCUGCCGUGGGCGCUGGAGAACUGAGGGGGGCUGCUCCUAGUACGAGAGGACCGGAGUGGACGCAUCACUGGUGUUCGGGUUGUCAUGCCAAUGGCACUGCCCGGUAGCUAAAUGCGGAAGAGAUAAGUGCUGAAAGCAUCUAAGCACGAAACUUGCCCCGAGAUGAGUUCUCCCUGACUCCUUGAGAGUCCUGAAGGAACGUUGAAGACGACGACGUUGAUAGGCCGGGUGUGUAAGCGCAGCGAUGCGUUGAGCUAACCGGUACUAAUGAACCGUGAGGCUUAACCUU
This 2901-nucleotide ribosomal RNA is filed under the name Escherichia coli. RNAcentral describes it as "bacterial LSU rRNA". It matches the Rfam family "Bacterial large subunit ribosomal RNA". The record is from RNAcentral. Lineage: Bacteria; Pseudomonadati; Pseudomonadota; Gammaproteobacteria; Enterobacterales; Enterobacteriaceae.